RNAcentral lists this long non-coding RNA (1775 nucleotides) under Lactuca sativa (garden lettuce). Its description in RNAcentral is "long non-coding RNA (LSAT_LNC003554)". Lineage: Eukaryota; Viridiplantae; Streptophyta; Magnoliopsida; Asterales; Asteraceae. The record is from RNAcentral.
UUUUUGAUUGUAUGAAACCGAUUACUAACCUUGCUGCAAUAGAGCCCCACAACAACCCCUUUUUAUCGCCUAAAUAGUCCCAAUAUAGCAGGAAAAUAACAAAUCAUCCCAAAAUUUAAGAAUUUCAAUGAAAUUAAUGAUAACUUAUUUUGUUUGAGUAGCAUCAACAACUAUUUAUCUUCUAAAAAGUUUAUCACAACUUAUCGGUCCUGCAAAAAAUGGGAAGCAACCACAUUCAUGCCCCAUGCACGAACAAACAGGACAAAGUCUCUUGAUAAUUUGAUGGAAAACUCGCUCUUCUGCAGGUAACCUGAAGCUUUACAUUUGUUUCAUUUGGAUUUCAAUUAAAAAGAAUAUUUACUGAAAAAAUCAAAUAAAAAUAUCAUUUCUUCCGAUAAGUUUCAUUGUAAAAAAGAGCAUAAAUACAAUAUUGAAGAAACCUUUGCAAGCCAUGUGUAAGCACCAGUAGCAAGCAAGCUUGAAACAGAAUAACAGAAACACCAUUAGGAGAGUUGCAAAGAAACAAUAGUACCAAAACAGUAACAUCUUAGCGGCAACAAUAAUAUAUUAGUCUUGAAUCCACAACCACUUGUGUCACUACAUAGCACAUUCUAUUUUUCAUAUUCUUUCAACAAAUGAGUUUUUUCAUACUAAUUUGAUAAAGUUUUCAAAAUCAUGUGUUGUAAUUUGAUAAAAAAGUACAUACCUUUUUGCAAAGCCCAAGAUAUAGUAGGAGCAUCAUAUGACCAUUUUGAGACCAUGCCUACAUCACCCGUCAAAUUCAUUUAGCCUCCAUUGAAUUUUCAGCUACACAGUUUCUUUAGCGAUCUGAUCGUUAUUGCCAUUGUCCACAACAUCUGAAAAAUCUCAAGACAAAUCAUCAUUCGUUUUCAUUAAAAAAAUCAAAAUGAUACGUCAUCCACAAGAUUAACAUAACAUGUCAAGUGCUAUAUGACCUGGUAUAUCAGCUCCAUCCCUGCCAUACAAUACCUGUUAAAGCAUAUGGCAGAAACUUCAUUAAAAAAACAUAAAACAUCAUGUUUUGUAAAUACAUGCUACACAAACCUUGUACAAAAAGGACUAAAACACAUGGCAUGAACUCACAACAAAGAUGCUCCUUCAACAACUAACACUUACCUCUGUUUCUCUUCAACUAAUAGUAAAAUAAAACACAACCGACAGAUGGAUGGACGUUUGAAAAAAAAUAACCCUAAAAAUGGGCAGACUUUUAAGAGAGAGCAAGCUAGUAAAAACAUUUGAGAUAUAAAAUUUAAUUUUUAGAUAGAUAUCAGGGUUAGAGAAAGUGAGAGUGGUCUAAUGGCGGUGGAAACAACAGAUGGGUUAUUGGUAAAAAUAUUAAAAUUUAAUUUUUAUAUAAAGAUGAUAAAAAUAAAGGAUUUGACCAAAAGUUAUGUAAAAGCUUACCUGGAGUGAACGAUCCAUGGCCUCCAAAGAGCAAGGAUGUCGGUUUGUUCUUCACAUAUGAAGGAUCGAAGCUGAAUCAUAGAAGCAUUUCAGAGGUGAUUUGGACACAAAUUCAAAUAAACCCAAACUAAAAAAAGAAACAAACAUUCAAAAGUUAGGUUAACUGAACAAUCGAUAAAAUAUAAAUAUGUGACUUGAGCUUCCUCGUUUCUAUUAGACGAUGGGUGAGCUGAGACAAAGAAAGAAAGGGUGAAUGGUGGUGUCGCGUUUACCUUACGAUUACGAUGGGUGGAUGAAAGCGGUCGGUUUAGCAGCAGCGCAAUAGCGAUGGUUGGUGGUGAGUAUCCACA